CCUACGGGGCGCAGCAGUCGAGAAUCAUUCACAAUGGGGGAAACCCUGAUGGUGCGACGCCGCGUGGGGGAAUGAAGGUCUUCGGAUUGUAAACCCCUGUCAUGUGGGAGCAAAUUAAAAAGAUAGUACCACAAGAGGAAGAGACGGCUAACUCUGUGCCAGCAGCCGCGGUAAUACAGAGGUCUCAAGCGUUGUUCGGAAUCACUGGGCGUAAAGUGUGCGUAGGCUGUUGCGUAAGUCGGGUGUGAAAGGCGCGGGCUCAACCCGCGGACGGCACAUGAUACUGCCAGACUAGAGUAAUGGAGGGGGAACCGGAAUUCUCGGUGUAGCAGUGAAAUGCGUAGAUAUCGAGAGGAACACUCGUGGCGAAGGCAGGUUCCUGGACGUUAACUGACGCUGAGGCACGAAGGCCAGGGGAGCGAAAGGGAUUAGAUACCCUUGUAGUC
RNAcentral lists this ribosomal RNA (446 nucleotides) under uncultured bacterium. Its description in RNAcentral is "partial 16S ribosomal RNA". It matches the Rfam family "Bacterial small subunit ribosomal RNA", at positions 338 to 795 of the family's 1533-position model. The record is from RNAcentral.